This 465-nucleotide ribosomal RNA is filed under the name uncultured bacterium. Its description in RNAcentral is "bacterial SSU rRNA". It matches the Rfam family "Bacterial small subunit ribosomal RNA", at positions 338 to 795 of the family's 1533-position model. The record is from RNAcentral.
CCUACGGGACGCACCAGUAGGGAAUCUUCGGCAAUGGACGAAAGUCUGACCGAGCAACGCCGCGUGAGUGAAGAAGGUAUUCGGAUCGUAAAACUCUGUUGAUAGAGAAGAACAAGUAGGAGAGUAACUGCUCUUACCUUGACGGUAUCUAACCAGAAAGCCACGGCUAACUACGUGCCAGCAGCCGCGGUAAUACGUAGGUGGCAAGCGUUGUCCGGAUUUAUUGGGCGUAAAGCGAGCGCAGGCGGUCUGUUAAGUCUGAUGUGAAAGCCCUCGGCUCAACCGAGGAAGGUCAUUGGAAACUGGAGGACUUGAGUGCAGAAGAGGAGAGUGGAAUUCCAUGUGUAGCGGUGUAAUGCGUAGAUAUAUGGAGGAACACCAGUGGCGAAGGCGACUCUCUGGUCUGUAUCUGACGCUGAGGCUCGAAAGCGUGGGGAGCAAACAGGAUUAGAUACCCUCGUAGUC